This 608-nucleotide ribosomal RNA is filed under the name uncultured fungus. RNAcentral describes it as "eukaryotic LSU rRNA". The stretch from base 234 to 387 matches the Rfam family "5.8S ribosomal RNA". The record is from RNAcentral. Lineage: Eukaryota; Fungi.
CUUGGUCAUUUAGAGGAAGUAAAAGUCGUAACAAGGUCUCCGUAGGUGAACCUGCGGAGGGAUCAUUACACAAAUAUGAAGGCGGGCUGGAACCUCUCGGGGUUACAGCCUUGCUGAAUUAUUCACCCUUGUCUUUUGCGUACUUCUUGUUUCCUUGGUGGGUUCGCCCACCACUAGGACAAACAUAAACCUUUUGUAAUUGCAAUCAGCGUCAGUAACAAAUUAAUAAUUACAACUUUCAACAACGGAUCUCUUGGUUCUGGCAUCGAUAAAGAACGCAGCGAAAUGCGAUAAGUAGUGUGAAUUGCAGAAUUCAGUGAAUCAUCGAAUCUUUGAACGCACAUUGCGCCCUUUGGUAUUCCAAAGGGCAUGCCUGUUCGAGCGUCAUUUGUACCCUCAAGCUUUGCUUGGUGUUGGGCGUCUUGUCUCUAGCUUUGCUGGAGACUCGCCUUAAAGUAAUUGGCAGCCGGCCUACUGGUUUCGGAGCGCAGCACAAGUCGCACUCUCUAUCAGCAAAGGUCUAGCAUCCAUUAAGCCUUUUUUUCAACUUUUGACCUCGGAUCAGGUAGGGAUACCCGCUGAACUUAAGCAUAUCAAUAAGCGGAGGA